CAUUCACGUAAGAGCUGGGUGAUGCUUGGGAGUCUGGUCCUUCUCCAGAAAAUGUCUUGGACUAAGGUCAACAAUCCCUUGAAGGAGAGAGACAUACGAAGAAGCCAUUUGAGAGGAACCGUGACCUUUGGUAAAGGUCACAGCCAGUCCAAAGUAAACAGCACACCACCGCUAAGAAACCCAGUAAUGAAUCCCUUAGUGUCCUGCACCAUCCAUGUGGCCUCCACAAGCUCUUCCCCACGCUGAGGUAAGGCAAGUGAAUGUCAUAAAUAUCAAGUGCUUUGUUCAUCUAUAUCGUGGGAAUGAGGAGCAUGAUAAAUUCUCACUAAUGGCAUGUAAGUGGAAAUGAGUCUCACCAACAGCCCAAGGAGAGAAGUGGAUGGGCCUGCUCUACACUCUGGAUCCUGCUUCAUCGUUCAGCUAGACUUAGAGAAUCCAGUGGAGGACUCCAAGUUCCUUUCCAAAGGCAGAGAGGUCCGUAAAGCAAGGAUAUCUGUCCCAAGUGACCACCUGAAGUAACCCUAACUUCACCU
Molecule: long non-coding RNA, 533 nt
Filed under: Fukomys damarensis (Damara mole-rat)
Lineage: Eukaryota; Metazoa; Chordata; Mammalia; Rodentia; Bathyergidae
Description: lncRNA (ENSFDAG00000022986.1)
Source: RNAcentral